CGAGUGCCCCGAGCGUUAUCCGGAAUCAUUGGGCGUAAAGGGUGUGUAGGUGGCAGUGUUAGUCUAUUGUUAAAACCUGGGGCUUAACCCCAGAUGUGCGAUAGAUACGGCACAGCUAGAGGAUGGCAGGGAUGUAUGGAACUCAUGGAGUAGGGGUGAAAUCCGUUGAUAUCAUGGGGAACACCGAAAGCGAAGGCAGUACAUUGGGCCACUCCUGACACUGAAACACGAAAGCGUGGGUAGCGAAUGGGAUUAGAUACCCCAGUAGUCCACGCCCUAAACGUUGAUGACUAGCUUUAGGGAGUAUCGACCCUCUCUGAGGCGAAGCAAACGCGUUAAGUUAUCCGCCUGGGUAGUACGGCCGCAAGGCUA
RNAcentral lists this ribosomal RNA (372 nucleotides) under uncultured organism. Its description in RNAcentral is "bacterial SSU rRNA". It matches the Rfam family "Bacterial small subunit ribosomal RNA", at positions 526 to 896 of the family's 1533-position model. The record is from RNAcentral.